AAUUUUACCUUGUAGGGUAGAUUCAAAUAUUAAGAAGGUGUUUUUUCUAGGGUAAGGCUAAUUCAUUGCAAUUAGAAUGUGCUAACCCCUGAAAUUCCCUUAAAUUCAGGAAAUUCAACCAUAUAAUUUGUGCUGGGGAACUGCUUUCAUGCUCUUCUCAC
Molecule: small nuclear RNA, 161 nt
Organism: Mastomys coucha (southern multimammate mouse)
Lineage: Eukaryota; Metazoa; Chordata; Mammalia; Rodentia; Muridae
Product: U1 spliceosomal RNA
Exons: 1
Source: RefSeq, a predicted model, not a curated record